Molecule: ribosomal RNA, 443 nt
Filed under: uncultured bacterium
Lineage: Bacteria
Description: partial 16S ribosomal RNA
Rfam family: Bacterial small subunit ribosomal RNA
Source: RNAcentral
CCUACGGGUGGCAGCAGUGGGGAAUAUUGGGCAAUGGGCGCAAGCCUGACCCAGCAACGCCGCGUGAAGGAAGAAGGCUUUCGGGUUGUAAACUUCUUUUCUGAGGGACGAAGAAAGUGACGGUACCUCAGGAAUAAGCCACGGCUAACUACGGGCCAGCAGCCGCGGUAAUACGUAGGUGGCAAGCGUUAGCCGGAUUUAUUGGGUGUAAGGGGCGUGUAGGCGGGAUAGCAAGUCAGAUGUGAAAACUCAGGGCUCAACCCUGAGACUGCAUGUGAAACUGUUUUUCUUGAGUGCUGGAGAGGUAAGCGGAAUUCCGUGUGUAGCGGUGAAAUGCGUAGAUAUACGGAGGAACACCAGUGGCGAAGGCGGAUUGCUGGACAGUAACUGACGCUGAGGCGCGAAAGCGUGGGGAGCAAACAGGAUUAGAUACCCCAGUAGUC